GGGGCCGCAAUGGUUUCGACGGGGAUUUUGCGGUAUGAUAAGCGGGUAGUGUUGGGGAAACACUAAAAUAAUCCUCACAAAAAAUUAAACGCUGAUAAUAGCGAACUCGUAGCAGCGUAAGCUGCGCCGCCUUUGGCGGAUUGUCUAUGCGGUGAGUGCCACGGCUCCGCCCAGGCAUAAAAUCAGUGGCCAACGUGAACAAUCGGUUAUUCUUUGAGAUUGUCAUGAACUAAAAGAAUACCGACGGGGAUAUCCUGCAUGCCGGAGAUUUCUGUCGGGAAUUUCAGUAGACAUGCUGCACCCGGAGAAAGUCAUAUCAAGAGAUUUUCGGACGUGGGUUCGAUUCCCACCGGCUCCACCA
RNAcentral lists this transfer-messenger RNA (361 nucleotides) under Eubacteriales. RNAcentral describes it as "Avispirillum sp011957885 Standard tmRNA". It matches the Rfam family "transfer-messenger RNA". Rfam says of the family: Bacterial tmRNA, also known as 10Sa RNA or SsrA, is named for its dual tRNA and mRNA-like properties. Its role is to liberate the mRNA from a stalled ribosome. To accomplish this part of the tmRNA is used as a reading frame that ends in a translation stop signal. Lineage: Bacteria; Bacillati; Bacillota; Clostridia. RNAcentral also lists the same sequence under 1 other name. The record is from RNAcentral.